Molecule: unclassified non-coding RNA, 520 nt
Filed under: uncultured Glomus
Lineage: Eukaryota; Fungi; Glomeromycota; Glomeromycetes; Glomerales; Glomeraceae
Description: SSU rRNA
Rfam family: Eukaryotic small subunit ribosomal RNA
Source: RNAcentral
AGCAGCCGCGGUAAUUCCAGCUCCAAUAGCGUAUAUUAAAGUUGUUGCAGUUAAAAAGCUCGUAGUUGAAUCUCGGGGUUAGCAGGUCGGUCGUGCCAUCGGUAUGAACUGGUCUCGCUGAUCCCUCCCUCUUGACGAACUGUGAUGCCAUUAAUUUGGUGUCGCAGGGAAUCAGGACUGUUACUUUGAAAAAAUUAGAGUGUUUAAAGCAGGCUCACGCUUGAAUACAUUAGCAUGGAAUAAUGAAAUAGGACGUUUGAUCCUAUUUUGUUGGUUUCUAGGAUUGACGUAAUGAUUAAUAGGGAUAGUUGGGGGCAUUAGUAUUCAAUUGUCAGAGGUGAAAUUCUUGGAUUUAUUGAAGACUAACUACUGCGAAAGCAUUUGCCAAGGAUGUUUUCAUUAAUCAAGAACGAAAGUUAGGGGAUCGAAGACGAUCAGAUACCGUCGUAGUCUUAACCAUAAACUAUGCCGACUAGGGAUCGGAUGAUGUUAAUUUUUUAAUGACUCAUUCGGCGCCUUA